Non-coding RNA from Podarcis lilfordi (Lilford's wall lizard), 90 nucleotides. The record is from the annotation of a GenBank genome assembly. Lineage: Eukaryota; Metazoa; Chordata; Lepidosauria; Squamata; Lacertidae.
GCAAGAGGGAUCAAACGCAAAGCCUCUUCAGGGCAGGGGGCGCAUUCUUCCCGCUGCCCUGAAAAGGCUUUGCGUUGCUAUCCCAGAAGC